CCUAAUAGUCCAUAUCUCUUAUCUUCUUUUGUGCCCCAAAAGUCUUCUCCUUAUCUCAUCUUCUUGACUGCACCAAACAGAAAGUCCAGCCCUCUUUCUCUACUCCUUUUUCUUUGUUUUUGUUUUUCUUCUCUCUUUGCUCUUACACGGCAGCCUUCCCUCUCUCACCAAAACAAAAUAUCCCUCUCUAAAGAAGAAAUUAAAGGGUUAACACUAAAAUUUCAUUUUCAAAUUGUUGGGGGUGGCAAGAACGAGAACACGGACACUUGAGCUCCUCUUGUACAAUUUCUCGCGCCUUUUGUUUUCAGGUUCUUCCUAGAAGCAGCGAGAGUAUUAGAGGUGGCAAGGAUUCUGUGUUUUCUCGUUUGUUAAAAUGUAGAGUUUUGUUGUAUAGCUGUUAGCUCUUUUGUUGUAUAGAAGGAAUCAAGAUGUACUUGAUCCUUUGAGCACAAAUGUAAUUCAGUAUCUUAGUUUGUUUUGAACCCCAGUUGUAUGUCUUUGGGGUUAGGUUUGUAAUAAAAGUUUUGCUAAAUGUUUAGCUAUGUAAUAUUUACACGAAUACCUUAAGUUUCAGCCAGGUGGUAAUUUUCCAAGUUCAAAGGAAAUCAAAUUUCAAGGUUUCUAUCA
Long non-coding RNA from Quercus lobata, 627 nucleotides. RefSeq lists it as uncharacterized. NCBI's taxonomy places the organism in Eukaryota, Viridiplantae, Streptophyta, Magnoliopsida, Fagales, Fagaceae. The record is from RefSeq and is a predicted model, not a curated record. The transcript is spliced from 3 exons.